CAUAUCUUGAUGCAGGUGUUGUUGUCCGCGCCGGUCACGGCAAACUUCCAGAACUGAACACUGUGAUGAGGGGAACCGUUUACUGUAGCCUCGAGGGAUUAUUCUAGAUUCGCUGAGCCAGUAGGUGAGCUCACGGGGCUCAAACCUGACAACGUUACUAACACGAACCCUAGCUAGAGCCGUGUUUCGCAGAAUCUACCACCGGAUUGGAAAUGCGACCCACUGAGAAGAUCCGACGAGAAACUCAGUGGGCUGUAUCUGAGAGUUAAUUUACUCGGCGAGCCUUUCGUCGCAAGCGACGGUUUCGACGAGAACGAUGACCGGGGCUUGAGGUACCUAAAAGCAUUGUUAGUGGAUCGGGAGGAUCCGAAAUGACGUGUAUUGAGCGACGUCGACUGUUUUCCAUUCGGUCCGCAGCAUCGGGAAUGAAACCUGAGGAUCUUGAUGGAUCUAGAGCUUAGUGGGGUCGCGUCGCUCGACACCAGGACAAACUACUGGCAAAUGAUCAUUCAGUUGUAGUUGUCUAUAACUUCUAAUAAUUGAAUUUUUUGUGAAGAUGUAUAGUAGAGGGCAGUUCGAAUGGUAAUGCCAAUUAAAUACCAAAUUAAAAAGUCGUUCGUACUCAGAGUUGUAGUUGUUGUGGUUGUCGAGGAAGAAGAGACAGCUGAGGGGCUUCCCGUCGUGCGGCUGCCACUUGUGCAGGCAGCGGGGGCUCCGGUUCUGCAUGCACACCUG
This is a long non-coding RNA of Bombyx mori (domestic silkworm), 735 nucleotides long. RefSeq lists it as uncharacterized. NCBI's taxonomy places the organism in Eukaryota, Metazoa, Arthropoda, Insecta, Lepidoptera, Bombycidae. The transcript is spliced from 2 exons. The record is from RefSeq and is a predicted model, not a curated record.